GCUGGGCGUGGUGGCGGGCGCCUGUGAUCCCAGCUACUCAGGAGGCUGAGACAGGAGAAUCGCUUGAACCCAGGAGGCAGAGGUUGCAGUGAGC
RNAcentral lists this microRNA precursor (94 nucleotides) under Chlorocebus sabaeus (green monkey). Its description in RNAcentral is "miRNA (ENSCSAG00000021949.1)". The record is from RNAcentral. Lineage: Eukaryota; Metazoa; Chordata; Mammalia; Primates; Cercopithecidae.